GACGAACGCUGGCGGCGUGCCUAACACAUGCAAGUCGAACGGACAUUUUUGGAAAGUUCUUCGGAGCUGGAAUCUAAAUGUUAGUGGCGGACGGGUGAGUAACGCGUGAGCAAUCUGCCUUUCAGAGGGGGAUAACAGCCGGAAACGGCUGCUAAUACCGCAUAAUGCAUUGGAUUCGCAUAUUUCUGAUGCCAAAGAUUUUAUCGCUGAAAGAUGAGCUCGCGUCUGAUUAGCUAGUUGGUGAGGUAACGGCUCACCAAGGCGACGAUCAGUAGCCGACCUGAGAGGGUGAUCGGCCACAUUGGGACUGAGACACGGCCCAA
Molecule: ribosomal RNA, 323 nt
Filed under: uncultured bacterium
Lineage: Bacteria
Description: bacterial SSU rRNA
Rfam family: Bacterial small subunit ribosomal RNA
Source: RNAcentral